This 253-nucleotide ribosomal RNA is filed under the name uncultured bacterium. RNAcentral's name for it is "partial 16S ribosomal RNA". It matches the Rfam family "Bacterial small subunit ribosomal RNA", at positions 524 to 776 of the family's 1533-position model. The record is from RNAcentral.
GCCGGAGGAGGCAAUCGUUAUCCGGAAUCAUUGGGCGUAAAGCGUCCGUAGGUGGCUUGGUAAGUCGGCUGUCAAAUCACAUGGCUCAACCAUGUAACGGCAGUGGAAACUGCUAGGCUAGAGUGCGGUAGGGGUAGCGGGAAUUCCCGGUGUAGCGGUGAAAUGCGUAGAUACUGGGAAGAACAUCGGUGGCGAAAGCGCGCUACUGGGUCGCAACUGACACUGAGGGACGAAAGCUAGGGGAGCGAAUGGG